This 468-nucleotide ribosomal RNA is filed under the name uncultured bacterium. RNAcentral describes it as "partial 16S ribosomal RNA". It matches the Rfam family "Bacterial small subunit ribosomal RNA", at positions 28 to 507 of the family's 1533-position model. The record is from RNAcentral.
GACGAACGCUGGCGGCGUGCUUAACACAUGCAAGUCGAACGGAAAGGCCCUGCUUUUGUGGGGUGCUCGAGUGGCGAACGGGUGAGUAACACGUGAGUAACCUGCCCUUGACUUUGGGAUAACUUCAGGAAACUGGGGCUAAUACCGGAUAGGAGCUCCUGCUGCAUGGCGGGGGUUGGAAAGUUUCGGCGGUUGGGGAUGGACUCGCGGCUUAUCAGCUUGUUGGUGGGGUAGUGGCUUACCAAGGCUUUGACGGGUAGCCGGCCUGAGAGGGUGACCGGCCACAUUGGGACUGAGAUACGGCCAAGACUCCUACGGGAGGCAGCAGUGGGGAAUAUUGCACAAUGGGCGGAAGCCUGAUGCAGCAACGCCGCGUGCGGGAUGACGGCCUUCGGGUUGUAAACCGCUUUCGCCUGUGACGAAGCGUGAGUGACGGUAAUGGGUAAAGAAGCACCGGCUAACUACGUG